GUUCAUUCCGAUGAACAUAUACUAAAAUUGGAACAAUACAGAGAAGAUUAGCAU
Molecule: non-coding RNA, 54 nt
Organism: Onchocerca ochengi
Lineage: Eukaryota; Metazoa; Nematoda; Chromadorea; Rhabditida; Onchocercidae
Source: Rfam